GAUGAACGCUGGCGGCGUGCUUAACACAUGCAAGUCGAACGGAAAGGCCUCUGCUUGCAGAGGUACUCGAGUGGCGAACGGGUGAGUAACACGUGGGUGAUCUGCCCUGCACUUCGGGAUAAGCCUGGGAAACUGGGUCUAAUACCGGAUAGGACGAUGGUUUGGAUGCCAUUGUGGAAAGUUUUUCGGUGUGGGAUGAGCUCGCGGCCUAUCAGCUUGNGGUGGGGUAAUGGCCUACCAAGGCGUCGACGGGUAGCCGGCCUGAGAGGGUGUACGGCCACAUUGGGACUGAGAUACGGCCCAGACUCCUACGGGAGGCAGCAGUGGGGAAUAUUGCACAAUGGGCGCAAGCCUGAUGCAGCGACGCCGCGUGGGGGA
Molecule: ribosomal RNA, 378 nt
Filed under: uncultured bacterium
Lineage: Bacteria
Description: bacterial SSU rRNA
Rfam family: Bacterial small subunit ribosomal RNA
Source: RNAcentral